Molecule: non-coding RNA, 459 nt
Organism: Urocitellus parryii (Arctic ground squirrel)
Lineage: Eukaryota; Metazoa; Chordata; Mammalia; Rodentia; Sciuridae
Source: the annotation of a RefSeq genome assembly
AUGCUGUGGGCUCUAGCCCUACUUCUAGCCACCCUGCCUCCUGGUAGCCAAACAUCCAGGUCGGAAGGGAGAAUGAUGUCAGUCACAAGUUCACCUGGGUCAUAUGUGCCAAUCACUUGUGAUUUACGUGAAGCAAGUACCUACAUCCACUGGUACCAAUUCAAGGAGGGGAAGGCCCCACGAUACCUUCUGUACUAUAAUCUUCUCAAUUGUAGGGUUGUGGUAGACUCAGGAAUCAUUUCAGAGAAAUAUGAUGCUAAUAAAGGCCCAGAUGGGAGAUGUAAAUUAGAAGUACGAAAUGUGGUCGAAAGUGACUCUGCUGUGUAUUACUGUGCCUWCUGGACUCGCACAGUGGUUCAGACCUGCCUUUAUCUGUACUCAAAAUGUUGCUUUGACUGCUCCUGGUACACAGAUAGAGAUCAGCCCCCUUYCUAUUUCCUGCCCCUGACCUCACUGUAA